RNAcentral lists this ribosomal RNA (1557 nucleotides) under Triticum aestivum (bread wheat). Its description in RNAcentral is "partial small subunit ribosomal RNA". The record is from RNAcentral. Lineage: Eukaryota; Viridiplantae; Streptophyta; Magnoliopsida; Poales; Poaceae.
AUGGACAUGGACCAACUCUCUUGCGGAAGUUUGUGUCUAAUGGCCAUAGCCACGAUUCUCUUGUCUUUGAUUCUGAGGCAGGCUAUGGGUGGUACUAAGGAGACAGGACCGAAGCUUCCUCCAGGUCCAUGGAACCUCCCCUUCAUCGGGAGCCUCCAUCACCUCAUCGGCAUGAAACUGCCGCCGCACCGGGCAUUUCUCCGCCUGUCGCGUCGGCACGGCCCGCUGAUGCUGCUGAGGCUCGGCGAAGUGCCCAACGUCAUCGUGUCCACCCCAGAGGCGGCGAUGGAGGUGCUCAAGACGAACGACCUCGCCUUCGCGACCCGUCCGAGCGGCCCCACGCUCGACGUCGUCAGCUGCGGCGGCAAAGGCCUCAUCUUCGCGCCCUACGGUGAGCACUGGCGGCAGAUGCGCAAGGUCUGCGUAAUGGAGCUGCUCAGCGCGAGGCAGGUGCAGCGUAUCGAGUUCAUCAAGCAGGGCGAGGUCGCGCACCUUGUGGAGUCGGUCGCCGCCGCCUCGCCGUCCGGCUCCCCCAUCAUCGACGUCGGAAAGGGGCUGGCCAAACUGAGCAACAACAUAAUCGCGAGGGCGGUGUUCGGCGGAAAGUGUCGGCAGCAGGAGGAGUACCUCCGGGAGCUCGACACGGUGUCGAUGCUCGUGGGAGGGUUCAGCCCGGUGGACCUUUUCCCCUCGUCGCGGCUGGUGCGGUGGCUGAGCAGCGCGCCGCGCGACGUGCGGAGGAGCCACGCCCGGGUGCAGCGCAUCCUCGGGGACAUCAUCCAAGAGCGCAAGGAGAAAAAACCAAGUAAUGGCUCUGCUGGUGGUAGAGACGACGAAGACCUGCUCGACGUGCUCCUGAGGCUGCACAAGGAAGACACCCUCGGUUUCCCUCUGACGUCGGAGAUCAUCGGCGCCGUCGUCUUUGACAUAUUUGGAGCUGCUACCGACACGACGGCUGCCACGCUAGAAUGGGCCAUGGCAGAACUCAUCCGCAGCCCACACGCAAUGGCAAGAGCGAAACUCGAAGUCCGACAGAAGAAGCUAGGACAUGGCCGUGGGUCCACCGUCACCAGCGCGGACCUCGGCGACCUGCACUAUCUUCGGAUGGUCGUCAAGGAGACGCUAAGGCUGCACCCCUCCGCGGCGCUGAUCCACCGGGCGAGCCAGGAGAGCUGCCGGGUCAUGGGCUACGACAUACCCAAAGGCACCGCCGUCACGAUAAACGCCUUCGCGGUGGGGAGGGACCCGGUGCACUGGGGUGAGGACGCCGCGGAGUUCAGGCCGGAGAGGUUCGAGGAGGAGCUGAGCACCGUGGAGUACAGGCAGGGGCCGCAGAUGGAGUUCAUUCCAUUUGGAGCUGGCCGUAGGCAGUGCCCUGGAGCCCUGUUCGCGACCAAGACCAUCGAGCUCGUGCUGGCCAACCUCCUGUACCACUUUGACUGGACGGUUCCGGGUGGCGAGACGCUGGACAUGGGCGAGGUGUUUGGGAUCAUCGUGCACACCAGGUCCAGCCUACGCCUGCAGGCAGUGGUGGGUCGUCAUCUACAAGACCGCUAG